UAGUUACUUGUUCCCCGGAUAGUUUAGUUACGUAGCCAAUUGUGGAACUUUCUUGCUAAAAUUUUUAAGAAUACUAUUUGGGUUAAACCAAUUAGUUCUUAUCAAUUAUAACGAUUAUCAAUUAACAAUCAAUUCAGAACUGGCACGGACUUGGGGAAUCCGACUGUCUAAUUAAAACAAAGCAUUGUGAUGGCCCUAGCGGGUGUUGACACAAUGUGAUUUCUGCCCAGUGCUCUGAAUGUCAAAGUGAAGAAAUUCAAGUAAGCGCGGGUCAGGGGAUCAGGGGUAAUUGCGAGCAGAGGGGGAGUAUUUUUCUUUA
RNAcentral lists this non-coding RNA (319 nucleotides) under Drosophila sechellia. RNAcentral describes it as "Eukaryotic large subunit ribosomal RNA". It matches the Rfam family "Eukaryotic large subunit ribosomal RNA", at positions 1973 to 2268 of the family's 3401-position model. The record is from Rfam by way of RNAcentral. Lineage: Eukaryota; Metazoa; Arthropoda; Insecta; Diptera; Drosophilidae.